This is a non-coding RNA of Schistosoma mansoni, 78 nucleotides long. Lineage: Eukaryota; Metazoa; Platyhelminthes; Trematoda; Strigeidida; Schistosomatidae. The record is from Rfam.
AGCCUUCUGAAUUCGUGGCGAGAUUUCGUCAGACAUCAGACCAUUGGUACUGAUGAGACUCCUAAGACAAGUGAAGCG